RNAcentral lists this transfer RNA (72 nucleotides) under Phrynosoma platyrhinos (Desert horned lizard). RNAcentral describes it as "tRNA-OTHER". It matches the Rfam family "tRNA". From Rfam's summary of the family: Transfer RNA (tRNA) molecules are approximately 80 nucleotides in length. The record is from RNAcentral. Lineage: Eukaryota; Metazoa; Chordata; Lepidosauria; Squamata; Phrynosomatidae.
AGCUGAGUACUAUGAUGGUUUGAGUGUUGGACUGUGACUCUGGAGAUCAGGGUUCGAAUCCCUGCUCAGCCA